AAGACUAUACUUUCAGGGAUCAUUUCUAUAGUUCGUUAGUUUCUUUCUUAUGACUUUGCUUGCUCUAAGUUCCUCAUGUGAGUACAAUCACACAGC
This 96-nucleotide small nucleolar RNA is filed under the name Tupaia belangeri (northern tree shrew). RNAcentral describes it as "Small nucleolar RNA U3 (ENSTBEG00000020749.1)". Lineage: Eukaryota; Metazoa; Chordata; Mammalia; Scandentia; Tupaiidae. The record is from RNAcentral.